RNAcentral lists this long non-coding RNA (251 nucleotides) under Elaeis guineensis (African oil palm). RNAcentral's name for it is "long non-coding RNA (EGUI_LNC064518)". The record is from RNAcentral. Lineage: Eukaryota; Viridiplantae; Streptophyta; Magnoliopsida; Arecales; Arecaceae.
CGCAACUGACAACUCUGAGUGAUUAAUACAAUCUGGCUAUAGUGGUUGUUAUGCUGCAUGCAGCAUCUCAUAAAACUUUUUAACCUCCAUAUUUGGAGUCUCCUCCACAUAAUUUUGAGCAUCCCUAUUUUGAUAAGUAUCCACAUUGCUAUUAUAAACAUCUUCAAAAUUUGGUGCAGCAGCAUAAAAAAUCAUGACUUUAUAUCUACUGGUUUGCUCAUUAUUGCCCAAUUGAUCACCACUAGGAGCAC